CGGUGGCAUCGUGGUGUUCGGAAUAGGCGGCGUGCUGUGAUUGGGCCACGUGUGUGGUGCGUGCGCACAAAAUGGUGUCAUCGCGGGACAAGCCGAUCAGACGAGCGACGGCUGCCUUCAGCGAACGACAUCGGACGGGGCUGGCAUUCCUGGAGACCCCCCAACGAUCCGAAGCUGGCGGUGGGUGCGAGGGUGGAGGCCGCCUGGCGUUCCGGAAUAACCAGGAACCAGUAGGCGGAAUCCAGGACGACUAAGCUACCGAGGACAGGCAUAUAUGGGUGCCUGGGACAACCGCGAGCGAACCCUGACCCACGACCUUGCACGCGUCGUCGCCGCCCCCGUCUUCGCACCAGCCACCUCACACCCUCGAUGUCUUCACCAUCCAGAGCCAGCGCCAACCCCGCCACAUCCACGCGUCCGAUGCCCGUUUCUAAGGAGAUGGAUCCACCAGAUUCACAGCGCAGGGUUCGACCCUCGGGAAUCAGGGAAUUGCCAUACGCGGUCGCCUUAGAGGCGGGCCUGAUCUAUACGGCUUGCCACGUGGUCUCCUACAUAUUCACCCAGACUGGUCAAAACAAGUCGUUCACACACUUCCGUCUCACUCGCUGCGACGCCUUCCAUUACUCCCACGAAAGUUAAGUGGCGAACUUUUGCGAGCCAGAAACGUUCGAGAAGCGCUACACGUGGAAAACUGUGCACGAAAGUGUGUGGGACGCUUUUGAGUGCCACUCUCGCGGGGCCCUCGGUGUAACCGCAGUGGGGUAGCCCUGGACGAGCUCGAGCUCGACUGCGCUAACUGGCUCGGAGACGACGGUGUGCCCGACCAGGUUAAGCUGAAGAAGCUGUGGCAGACAGUGUCUCCCAGGUAGCUCGCAGUGGCCGCACGUUGGCGCCUGCCUCUGGUGAUUCACUCCCGGGACGCAACAGCAGCCAAGAUCAGCAUUCUCAAGGAGAUGGUUCCGGCUGACUGCAUCGUACACCAGCACUGAUUUCCGGGUGACUGGACCGAGGCGAAGUGCUGGCUGGACAUUUUACCGCGGCUCUGCCUGGCCAUCACGCCGGUGCUGGGUUUCUCGGGAGUCGAACCGCUGGUCCAGGCCGCGCAAGUGACGGCGCAGGGUCAACUGUUCCUCGAGGCGGACGCACCGUUCUUCCUGCCCAAGAGGCCCACCUGCUGGCACACGGGCAUGGUCGUUCCACGUCGCAAUUUCCCUCACGACGUGAUCGCCGCGGUUCAGGAGAACGCGCGGCGCAUGCUACAGCAUAUACGUAGAUUCGAAUACUUCGAAUGCGUUAUACUUGUAUCUCGAUUAUUGAACGUUAUUUACAGCA
Long non-coding RNA from Dermacentor albipictus, 1332 nucleotides. RefSeq lists it as uncharacterized. The record is from RefSeq and is a predicted model, not a curated record. Lineage: Eukaryota; Metazoa; Arthropoda; Arachnida; Ixodida; Ixodidae.